This 492-nucleotide ribosomal RNA is filed under the name uncultured bacterium. RNAcentral's name for it is "partial 16S ribosomal RNA". It matches the Rfam family "Bacterial small subunit ribosomal RNA", at positions 29 to 507 of the family's 1533-position model. The record is from RNAcentral.
AGUGAACGCUGGCGGUAGGCCUAACACAUGCAAGUCGAACGGCAGCACAGUAAGAGCUUGCUCUUACGGGUGGCGAGUGGCGGACGGGUGAGGCCUACAUAGGAAUCUACUUUUUCGUGGGGGAUAACGUAGGGAAACUUACGCUAAUAACGCUUACGACCUACGGGUGAAAGCACGGGAUCUUAGGACCUUGCGCGAUUGAAUGAGCCGAUGUCGGAUUAGCUAGUUGGCGGGGUAAAGGCCCACCAAGGAUAUGAUCCGUAACUGGUCUGAGAGGGUGAACAGCCACACUGUAUCUGAGACUCGUUCCAGACUCCUACGGGGAGCAGCAGUGGAGAAUAUUGGAGGAUGGGCGCGUGCCUGAUCCUGGCAUAUCGCGUGGAUGAAGAAGGACUUCGGGUUGGAGAGCCCUUUUGUUGUGAAAGUAAAGCAGCGGUUUAAUACCCCGCGGUUCUGACGGUACCCGAAGAAUAAGCACCGGCUAACUUCGUG